CCCGCCAGAUGCCAGAAGUGGGUGGAGAAUUGUAGGAGAGCAGACUUAGAAGAUAAAACACCUGAUCAGCUGAAUAAACAUUAUCGACUGUGUUACCAAACACUUUGAGACCUCUAUGAUCUGUAGAACUAGUCCUUAUAGGACUGUUCUUCGAGAAAAUGCAAUACCAACAAUAUUUGCUCUUACCAGUCACUUGAACAAUCUGCAUAGUAGACACAGAAAACGAAUAAAGAAUUGAGUGAAGAUGAAAUAAGGACAAUGAAACAGAAAAAAAUUGAUGAAAUCUGAACAGGAACAGAAACAUAAGGAAACAAACAAUAGCAAUGCUCAGAAUCCCAGUGCAGAAGUGGUAGGUGAUGAGCCAGAUGAAGACAUUUUACCUUUAACCUUUGAAGAGAAGGAAAACAACGAAUACUUAAAGUCUCUAUUUGAAAUUUUGAUUCUUAUGGGAAAACAAACAUACCUUUGGAUGGGCAUGAGACUGAUGAAAUUCCAGAAGGUCUUUUUACACCUGAUAACUUUCAAGCAUUGCUCUUGGAUAAAUUCUGGUGAAGAGGUCCUGAGAAAGCAUUUUGAGGCCACAGCUGUUCCAUUCAAAAACACAGCAGAAGCAGAUGCUAGAGAUCUAUGAGAGCUGUAUUCGUGAAGAAACCCUCAGGGAAGUGAGAGACUCACACUUCUCUUCCAUCAUCACUGACUAUGUGGUGGACAUAGCAGGGGAAGAGCACUUACCUGUCUUAGUGAGGGUUGUCGAAGAAUCUCAUAACCUAAGAGUUUGUGGGCUUCCUCCCUUAUGAAGCUGCUGCAGAAAUUUUGGCUGUAAAAUUUCACACUACAAUAACUGAGAAGUGGGGACUCAAUAUGGAGUAUUGUCAUGGCCAGGCUUAUAUUGUGUCCAGUGGAUUUUCUUUUCAAAUGAAAGUUGUUGCUUCUAGACUUUUAGAGAAAUAUCCCCAAGCUAUCUACACACUCUGCUCUCACUGUGCCUUAAACAUGUGGUUGGCAAAAUCAGCGUCUGUGGUAGAGGUAUCAGUUGCAUUAGGAACAAUUGAAGAAGUCUGUUUUUUCCAUCAUUCACCACAACUACUUUUAGAACUUGACAAUGUAAUUUCUGUUCUUUUUCAGAACAGUGAAGAAAGGGGUAAAGAACUGAAGGAAAUAUGUCAUUCUCAAUGGACGAUGCUUUUGAAGUUUUAGUGGAUCUCCUACAAGCACUUGUUUUGUGUUUAGAUGGUAUAAAUAGUGACACAAAUAUUAGAUGGAAUAACUGUAUAGCUGGCCGAGCAUUUAUACUCUGUAGUGCAGUGACAGAUUUUGAUUUUAUUGUUAUUAUUGUUGUUCUUAAAAAUGUCUUAUCUUUUACAAGGGUCUUUGGGAAAAAUCUCCAGGGACAAACUUCUGAUGUCUUUUUUGUAGCCAGCAGCUUGACUGCAGUGCUUCACUCACUCAAUGAAGUGAUGGAAAAUAUUGAAGUUUAUCAUGAGAUUUGGUUUUGAAGAAGCUACACAUUUGGCAACCAAGCUUGAUAUUCAAAUGAAACUCCCUGGGAAAUUUUGUAGGGCUCAGCAAGGUAACCUGGAAUCUCAGUUAACCUCUGAGAGUUACUAUAAAGAAAUCUUAAGUGUCCCAACAAUAGAGCACAUUAUUCAGGAACUUAAAGAUAUAUUCUCAGAACAGCAUCUCAAAGCUCUUAAAUGCUUAUCUUUGGUACCCUCAGUCAUGGGGCAGCUCAAAUUCAACACAUCAGAGGAACAUCAUGCUGACAUGUACAGAAGUGACUUACCCAAUCCUGACAUGCUCUCAGCUGAGCUUCAUUGCUGGAGAAUCAAAUGGAAACACAGAGGGAAAGACAUAGAGCUUCCAUCUACUAUUUAUGAAGCCCUCCACUUGCCUGACAUCAAGUUUUUUUCUAAUGUGUAUGCCUUGCUGAAAGUCAUGUGUAUUCUUCCUGUGAUGAAAGUUGAGAACGAACGCUAUGAAAAUGGACGAAAGCAUCCCAAAGCAUAUUUGAGGAAUACUUUGACAGACCUAAGGUCCAGUAACUUGGCUUUGCUUAACAUAAAUUUUGAUAUAAAACAUGAUCUGGAUUUAAUGGUGGAUACAUAUAUCAAACUAUAUACAACUAAAUCAGAGCUUCCUACAGUUAAUUCAGAAACUGUUGAAAACACCUGAGAGACUUUUAAAAUAGGCUUUCUCAUGUAUUUGCUAUUUGUAAGAAAAACCAUGAGGAGUGUGUAGGCUGCCUAAUCACUGAACAUGGUAGACCAUAUGCCUGUCAUUUAAUAUAUUAGCCAUUUGAUAAUCCAUGUUUAAGUGGCUGCUCUCAUGCUUCUGAGAUCUGUUUUCCAGAAGACAGCAUUGGGAGUGCCACACUUCACUUGGCAUGACCCCUGCUGGUGGCACUCUGAAAUCGUUUUAAGUCAUUUUAGACAGCACACUUACUGCCACUGUGGAUCCCUGGUCAGAUAUUGAAUUGUCAGUUUUUGAAAAAAUGAAUUUUGAGAUGGUGUGGGAGAAGUGCACUUUAUAAAACGUUAUGGUGAACCCCA
RNA transcript from Octodon degus (degu), 2549 nucleotides. It is a transcript of the gene named 52 kDa repressor of the inhibitor of the protein kinase-like, with no coding region annotated. The transcript has a single exon. Lineage: Eukaryota; Metazoa; Chordata; Mammalia; Rodentia; Octodontidae. The record is from RefSeq and is a predicted model, not a curated record.